RNAcentral lists this long non-coding RNA (400 nucleotides) under Elaeis guineensis (African oil palm). RNAcentral describes it as "long non-coding RNA (EGUI_LNC073657)". Lineage: Eukaryota; Viridiplantae; Streptophyta; Magnoliopsida; Arecales; Arecaceae. The record is from RNAcentral.
UGGGUGUCUAGUAUUUCGAUCAGGAGGUUGGAGGUAGACAUAUUUUCUAUAAAGAGUCGAAAGUUUCUAGUUAGAUUUUGUAAUCAGACUUAACCAAUUUAUUUAAAAGUUUCAUUUUUAAACAAAUUAAGUUCUCACUAUUUUCUCAGAUCCCUACACUCCCUUGGUAGAGAUAUGAAAAUCUCCAUGUUCAGUGAUUUCUAGUGGGUGGUGCGGUCUCACCGACUGGCUCAUCACCUCACCUAACAGUUAUUGGUGAUGGGUCAACCAAUGAGUGGACAACUCUUGUCCAAUGAUUUUUUAAUCAUGGUGCACCCAAAACUUGGUCUCUAAUUCAUGAAGCUCACCGUAUCCGGAAUAUUACUCCAAUCCUUAGUUAAGCCAAACCCACCAUUUGCAC